GAUGAACGCUGGCGGCGUGCCUAAUACAUGCAAGUCGAGCGAACGGACGAGAAGCUUGCUUCUCUGAUGUUAGCGGCGGACGGGUGAGUAACACGUGGAUAACCUACCUAUAAGACUGGGAUAACUUCGGGAAACCGGAGCUAAUACCGGAUGAUAUUUUGAACCGCAUGGUUCAAAAGUGAAAGACGGUCUUGCUGUCACUUAUAGAUGGAUCCGCGCUGCAUUAGCUAGUUGGUAAGGUAACGGCCUACCAAGGCAACGAUGCAUAGCCGACCUGAGAGGGUGAUGGGCCACACUGGGACUGAGACGCGGUACAGACUCCUACGGGAGGCAGCAGUAGGGAAUCUUCCGCGAUGGGCGAAAGCCUGACGGAGCAACGCCGCGUGAGUGAUGAAGGUCUUCGGAUCGUAAAACGCUGUUAUUAGGGAAGAACAUAUGUGGAAGUAACUGUGCACAUCUUGACGGUACCUAAUCAGAAAGCCACGGCUAACUACGUG
This 497-nucleotide ribosomal RNA is filed under the name uncultured bacterium. Its description in RNAcentral is "partial 16S ribosomal RNA". It matches the Rfam family "Bacterial small subunit ribosomal RNA", at positions 28 to 507 of the family's 1533-position model. The record is from RNAcentral.